AACUUUCAGCAACGGAUCUCUUGGCUCUCGCAUCGAUGAAGAACGCAGCGAAAUGCGAUAAGYAAUGUGAAUUGCAGAAUUCAGUGAAUCAUCGAAUCUUUGAACGCACCUUGCGCUCCUUGGUAUUCCGAGGAGCAUGCCUGUUUGAGUGUCAU
Molecule: ribosomal RNA, 155 nt
Filed under: Ganoderma sp. FRIM 138
Lineage: Eukaryota; Fungi; Basidiomycota; Agaricomycetes; Polyporales; Polyporaceae
Description: 5.8S ribosomal RNA
Rfam family: 5.8S ribosomal RNA
About the family: 5.8S ribosomal RNA (5.8S rRNA) is a component of the large subunit of the eukaryotic ribosome.
Source: RNAcentral